Molecule: long non-coding RNA, 421 nt
Filed under: Numida meleagris (helmeted guineafowl)
Lineage: Eukaryota; Metazoa; Chordata; Aves; Galliformes; Numididae
Description: lncRNA (ENSNMEG00000021613.1)
Source: RNAcentral
CAACACUUUACAAUUUGUAUUUGGCUUUGAACAAGCAAACAAGAAAUUAGCUGUGAAUAGGUAAAAAUUCAGAUGUAAGAAACCCCAAAACAAUCAGUAGGACUCUGGAAGACUUCUGCAAAGUGAAGACAGGAGUGUGGAUCACGUGUAUAAAACUGUGGUAUUUGAACAUAAAACAAUGGGAUUUGAAGUUGGCAUUCUAGAGCAGCUCCUGAAUCCAUACGGCCUGAUCUUCUGUGCAGAAUUUGACUCCUGAUGAUAAUUUUUUUACAUCCUCAUGGAGUGUUUUAUCGUGGAACAUCGUGCUGCCAUCUGGGAAGAAAAACACGAUGGUACAGGAGCAGCUGGUGAGUGAGAAUGGCCAAAUAAACAUUGGCACUCAUCUGCCAUUAGGUGAGAUAAGAGGGCUGAGGCCAAGCCA